RNAcentral lists this non-coding RNA (148 nucleotides) under Gorilla gorilla gorilla (western lowland gorilla). Lineage: Eukaryota; Metazoa; Chordata; Mammalia; Primates; Hominidae. The record is from Rfam by way of RNAcentral.
GCUGGGUGUGAUGGUGCACACCUGUAAUCCCAGCUACUUGGGGGGCUGAGGCAGGAGAAUCGCUUGAGCCCAGGAGGCGGAGGUUGCAGUGAGCCGAGAUCGUGCCACUGCACUCCAGCCUGAGCAACACAGCGGGACUCUGUCUCAA